RNAcentral lists this ribosomal RNA (274 nucleotides) under uncultured bacterium. RNAcentral's name for it is "partial 16S ribosomal RNA". It matches the Rfam family "Bacterial small subunit ribosomal RNA", at positions 523 to 796 of the family's 1533-position model. The record is from RNAcentral.
CUACAGAGGGCCCGAGCGUUAAUCGGAAUCACUGGGCUUAAAGAGUUCGUAGGCGGUCUUGUAAGUAUCUUGUGAAAUCCCACGGCUCAACCGUGGAAUUGCUUGGUAAACUGCAAGACUUGAGUAUGGUAGAGGCUGUCGGAACUCUAGGUGGAGCGGUGAAAUGCGUAGAUAUCUAGAGGAACACCAAAGGCGAAGGCAGACAGCUGGGCCAUUACUGACGCUGAGGAACGAAAGCGUGGGUAGCGAACGGGAUUAGAAACCCCAGUAGUCC